This 395-nucleotide ribosomal RNA is filed under the name uncultured bacterium. Its description in RNAcentral is "bacterial SSU rRNA". It matches the Rfam family "Bacterial small subunit ribosomal RNA", at positions 358 to 770 of the family's 1533-position model. The record is from RNAcentral.
GGAAUAUUGGACAAUGGGGGCAACCCUGAUCCAGCCAUGCCGCGUGAGUGAAGAAGGCCCUAGGGUUGUAAAGCUCUUUCAGCGGGGAAGAUGAUGACGGUACCCGCAGAAGAAGCCCCGGCUAACUCCGUUCCAGCAGCCGCGGUAAUACGGAGGGGGCUAGCGUUGCUCGGAAUUACUGGGCGUAAAGGGCGCGUAGGCGGAUUUUUAAGUUACGUGUGAAAGCCCCGGGCUUAACCCGGGAAUUGCGCGUGAUACUGGAAAUCUAGAGUUCUGGAGAGGGUGGUGGAAUUCCCAGUGUAGAGGUGAAAUUCGUAGAUAUUGGGAAGAACACCGGUGGCGAAGGCGGCCACCUGGCCAGACACUGACGCUAAGGCGCGAAAGCGUGGGGAGCA